GACAGAGGGGGGCAAGCGUUGCUCGGAAUUACUGGGCGUAAAGGGCGCGUAGGCGGGAUGGCAAGUCGGUCGUGAAAUCCCUCGGCUCAACCGAGGAACGUCGAUCGAUACUGCUGUUCUUUGAGGAUUGCAGAGGAGACUGGAAUUCCCGGUGUAGCGGUGAAAUGUGUAGAGAUCGGGAGGAACACCGGUGGCGAAGGCGGGUCUCUGGGCAAUUCCUGACGCUGAGGCGCGAAAGCGUGGGGAGCAAACGGG
RNAcentral lists this ribosomal RNA (255 nucleotides) under uncultured bacterium. RNAcentral describes it as "partial 16S ribosomal RNA". It matches the Rfam family "Bacterial small subunit ribosomal RNA", at positions 524 to 776 of the family's 1533-position model. The record is from RNAcentral.